AAACUUACAGUGCACUGGAACGCGCGUGAUCAUGAAGGCGCGGUUCCUAAGGUGACGUGGCCUAGCACCCAGGCCACUGAUCCGGGCGCCUUCCUCCGAUGGAGGCGAGGCGAGUGCUCAAUUUUUGGUAGAAUAGGUGGACUUGCGUUCGCGCUUGUCCACC
Molecule: non-coding RNA, 163 nt
Organism: Nematostella vectensis (starlet sea anemone)
Lineage: Eukaryota; Metazoa; Cnidaria; Anthozoa; Actiniaria; Edwardsiidae
Source: Rfam